Molecule: ribosomal RNA, 711 nt
Filed under: Streptomyces diastaticus subsp. diastaticus
Lineage: Bacteria; Bacillati; Actinomycetota; Actinomycetes; Kitasatosporales; Streptomycetaceae
Description: bacterial SSU rRNA
Rfam family: Bacterial small subunit ribosomal RNA
Source: RNAcentral
ACAUGCAGUCGAACGAUGAAGCCCUUCGGGGUGGAUUAGUGGCGAACGGGUGAGUAACACGUGGGCAAUCUGCCCUGCACUCUGGGACAAGCCCUGGAAACGGGGUCUAAUACCGGAUAUGACCGUCCAUCGCAUGGUGGAUGGUGUAAAGCUCCGGCGGUGCAGGAUGAGCCCGCGGCCUAUCAGCUAGUUGGUGAGGUAGUGGCUCACCAAGGCGACGACGGGUAGCCGGCCUGAGAGGGCGACCGGCCACACUGGGACUGAGACACGGCCCAGACUCCUACGGGAGGCAGCAGUGGGGAAUAUUGCACAAUGGGCGAAAGCCUGAUGCAGCGACGCCGCGUGAGGGAUGACGGCCUUCGGGUUGUAAACCUCUUUCAGCAGGGAAGAAGCGAAAGUGACGGUACCUGCAGAAGAAGCGCCGGCUAACUACGUGCCAGCAGCCGCGGUAAUACGUAGGGCGCAAGCGUUGUCCGGAAUUAUUGGGCGUAAAGAGCUCGUAGGCGGCUUGUCACGUCGGUUGUGAAAGCCCGGGGCUUAACCCCGGGUCUGCAGUCGAUACGGGCAGGCUAGAGUUCGGUAGGGGAGAUCGGAAUUCCUGGUGUAGCGGUGAAAUGCGCAGAUAUCAGGAGGAACACCGGUGGCGAAGGCGGAUCUCUGGGCCGAUACUGACGCUGAGGAGCGAAAGCGUGGGGAGCGAACAGGAUUAGA